This is an RNA transcript of Carya illinoinensis, 1126 nucleotides long. It is a transcript of the gene named adenine phosphoribosyltransferase 5-like, with no coding region annotated. Lineage: Eukaryota; Viridiplantae; Streptophyta; Magnoliopsida; Fagales; Juglandaceae. The record is from RefSeq and is a predicted model, not a curated record. The transcript is spliced from 7 exons.
CAGGUGACAUGGAGAGAAGCGAGAAUUUCAUCCUGCAACCCAGUUUUGGAGGGAAAAACCUAAAAGCUGCUAUUCAACGAGGUCGAGUAGCUGAGUGAGAGAGAGAAAAUUCAAGAAAAUCUUUGCUGAUUCUAUCGGAAAUCUUUUAGAAGCCCCAUACGCCAUUGAAGAGAGGGAAAUCCGUGAGAGAGGGAGAGAUUGAUCAUGUUUGCUGCUGAGAAUGGACUUAGAGGAGACCCAAGGCUUCAAGCCAUCUCCGAAGCCAUUCGAGUUGUUCCUCACUUUCCAAAGCCAGGAAUAAUGUUUCAAGAUAUAACGACGUUGUUGCUGGAUCCCAAGGCGUUCAAGGAUACGGUGGAUAUUUUCGUUGAUCGCUACAGAGACAUGGGCAUCUCCGUUGUUGCUGGUGUCGAAGCGAGGGGAUUCAUGUUUGGUCCCUCCAUUGCCCUAGCUAUUGGUGCAAAGUUUGUUCCUCUACGUAAACCUCGAAAGUUGCCAGGUGAAGUGAUAUCUGAAGCUUAUGUCCUGGAGUAUGGAACGGAUUGUCUGGAAAUGCAUGUUGGGGCUGUUCAGCCUGGCGAACGUUCAUUGAUAAUCGAUGAUUUGGUAGCUACAGGCGGGACUUUAUCAGCGGCAAUAAGACUUUUAGUUUAUGGAAUGCAAAUAUGCUGUUUAUCUAGAACGUGUGGGGGCUGAAGUGGUUGAAUGUGCAUGCGUUGUUGGGUUGCCUGAGGCGAAGGGACAACGCAGGCUUAAUGGGACCCCACUCUAUAUACUUGUGGAGCCACGUGAAAUAGAAAAUUGUUAUUAAGAGCUGAAUUGUCGCAUUUCCAAUUUGGCGACACGAUGAGUUGUUUCGAUUUAUUCACAUGCAGAUCUGUGGGCUUGAUUCUGCUUGGGCUGACUUAUAGGAAAGAUGAUGCUUGAGCAAACACAUGAUGAGUUUCUACCGAGUUUUGGCGGAAUUCCAUCAUUUCUUGGAUCAAUUUGUAUAAUUUCUUUAUGAGAUGUGCCAUCUUCCGUAGGCUGUUUUGUGCGAUUUAUAGUUUUGGAACAAGCCUCUGGUUGAAGAAUUGUUGCCCCGUGAUGUUUGAUUUGUUCUUUUUAAGUCAUUUUUAGUGCCCCA